CUCUCCCGACUUUGCCUCCCGCGCCUCCGGGCGCGGGCAAGGAGACCCUCUUUCCAUUUUUUUCUGCCUCAGUCUGAAACACAAAAAAACAAAAAGUUAAAACUUUCAACAACGGAUCUCUUGGUUCUCGCAUCGAUGAAGAACGCAGCGAAAUGCGAUAAGUAGUGUGAAUUGCAGAAUUCAGUGAAUCAUCGAAUCUUUGAACGCACAUUGCGCCCUCUGGCAUUCCGGAGGGCAUGCCCGUUCGAGCGUCAUAAAAACCCCCUCAAGCGAUUUCCGCUUGGUCAUGGGCACGGGGCCCGGCGCCGACACGCACGCCUUCCGGCGUACGGUCGGCAAACCAUCCGGAGCCCCCGCCCGAAUUCGAUAGGCGGAACGAUGCACCACCCCGCCCGGUGGAAGUGAUAGACCACAUCUACGACCACGGGCCGUGGGCAUGUUAGCGUUCCCGCCUCACCAAACCCCCACAAGCAUUCUUUCAGGAAGCAUGACCUCGGACGGGUAGGGAUACCCGCUGAACUUAAGCAUAUCAAUA
This 535-nucleotide ribosomal RNA is filed under the name Rhizoctonia sp. CJL-2014. Its description in RNAcentral is "eukaryotic LSU rRNA". The stretch from base 101 to 254 matches the Rfam family "5.8S ribosomal RNA". The record is from RNAcentral. Lineage: Eukaryota; Fungi; Basidiomycota; Agaricomycetes; Cantharellales; Ceratobasidiaceae.